This 305-nucleotide ribosomal RNA is filed under the name uncultured bacterium. RNAcentral's name for it is "bacterial SSU rRNA". It matches the Rfam family "Bacterial small subunit ribosomal RNA", at positions 330 to 649 of the family's 1533-position model. The record is from RNAcentral.
UUUUGGCUACGGGGCGCAGCAGUCGAGAAUCCUUCACAAUGGGGGAAACCCUGAUGGUGCGACGCCGCGUGGGGGAAUGAAGGUCUUCGGAUUGUAAACCCCUGUCAUGUGGGAGCAAAUUAAAAAGAUAGUACCACAAGAGGAAGAGACGGCUAACUCUGUGCCAGCAGCCGCGGUAAUACAGAGGUCUCAAGCGUUGUUCGGAAUCACUGGGCGUAAAACGUGCGUAGGCUGUUUCGUAAGUCGCGUGUGAAAGGCGCGGGCUCAACCCGCGGACGGCACAUGAUACUGCGAGACUAGAGUAA